AUUGAACGCUGGCGGAAUGCUUUACACAUGCAAGUCGAACGGCAGCACGGGGGCAACCCUGGUGGCGAGUGGCGAACGGGUGAGUAAUACAUCGGAACGUGCCCAGUCGUGGGGGAUAACGUAGCGAAAGCUACGCUAAUACCGCAUACGAACUCUGGUUGAAAGCGGGGGAUCGCAAGACCUCGCGCGAUUGGAGCGGCCGAUGGCAGAUUAGGUAGUUGGUGGGGUAAAGGCUCACCAAGCCGACGAUCUGUAGCUGGUCUGAGAGGACGACCAGCCACACUGGGACUGAGACACGGCCCAGACUCCUACGGGAGGCAGCAGUGGGGAAUUUUGGACAAUGGGCGCAAGCCUGAUCCAGCCAUUCCGCGUGCAGGAUGAAGGCCCUCGGGUUGUAAACUGCUUUUGUACGGAACGAAAAGGCUUUCUCUAAUACAGAGGGCUCAUGACGGUACCGUAAGAAUAAGCACCGGCUAACUACGUG
Molecule: ribosomal RNA, 484 nt
Filed under: uncultured Curvibacter sp.
Lineage: Bacteria; Pseudomonadati; Pseudomonadota; Betaproteobacteria; Burkholderiales; Comamonadaceae
Description: bacterial SSU rRNA
Rfam family: Bacterial small subunit ribosomal RNA
Source: RNAcentral